AUUGAACGCUGGCGGCAGGCUUAACACAUGCAAGUCGAGCGGGGUGAUGGUGCUUGCACUAUCACUUAGCGGCGGACGGGUGAGUAAUGCUUAGGAAUCUGCCUAUUAGUGGGGGACAACAUCUCGAAAGGGAUGCUAAUACCGCAUACGUCCUACGGGAGAAAGCAGGGGAUCACUUGUGACCUUGCGCUAAUAGAUGAGCCUAAGUCGGAUUAGCUAGUUGGUGGGGGAAAGGCCUACCAAGGCGACGAUCUGUAGCGGGUCGGAGAGGAGGGUCACGCAGACUGGGACUGAGAAACGGCCCAGCGUCCUACGGGAGGCAGCAAUGGGGAAUAUUGGACAGUGGGGGGAACCCUGCUCCAGCCAUGCAGCGUGUGUGAAGAAGGCCUUAUGGUUGUAAAGCACUUUAAGCGAGGAGGAGGCUCUUUUGGUUAAUACCCAGAAUGAGUGGACGUUACUCGCAGAAUAAGCACCGGCUAACUCUGUGCCAGCCGCCGCGGUAA
This 503-nucleotide ribosomal RNA is filed under the name uncultured bacterium. Its description in RNAcentral is "partial 16S ribosomal RNA". It matches the Rfam family "Bacterial small subunit ribosomal RNA", at positions 30 to 523 of the family's 1533-position model. The record is from RNAcentral.